Molecule: ribosomal RNA, 605 nt
Filed under: uncultured bacterium
Lineage: Bacteria
Description: bacterial SSU rRNA
Rfam family: Bacterial small subunit ribosomal RNA (bases 1-521)
Source: RNAcentral
CCUACGGGAGGCAGCAGUGGGGAAUAUUGGGCAAUGGAGGAAACUCUGACCCAGCGACGCCGCGUGCGGGAUGAAGGCCUUCGGGUUGUAAACCGCUUUCAGCAGGGAAGAAGCGAAAGUGACGGUACCUGCAGAAGAAGCACCGGCUAACUAUGUGCCAGCAGCCGCGGUAAUACAUAGGGUGCAAGCGUUGUCCGGAAUUAUUGGGCGUAAAGAGCUCGUAGGUGGUUCGUCACGUCGGAUGUGAAAAUCUGGGGCUUAACCCCAGACCUGCAUUCGAUACGGGCGAGCUUGAGUAUGGUAGGGGAGUCUGGAAUUCCUGGUGUAGCGGUGGAAUGCGCAGAUAUCAGGAGGAACACCAAUGGCGAAGGCAGGACUCUGGGCCAUUACUGACACUGAGGAGCGAAAGCGUGGGGAGCGAACAGGAUUAGAUACCCUGGUAGUCCACGCCGUAAACGGUGGGCACUAGUUGUGGGGACCUUCCACGGUCUCUGCGACGCNGCUACGCAUAAGUGCCCGCCGCGGGAGGUACGAGCGCGAGAAGUAAACGUACGAAAGAAGUAGACGGCGUGAGACGNGCCGACGGACGACGACGAGGGAGGAGG